Non-coding RNA from Camelina sativa (false flax), 496 nucleotides. NCBI's taxonomy places the organism in Eukaryota, Viridiplantae, Streptophyta, Magnoliopsida, Brassicales, Brassicaceae. The record is from RefSeq and is a predicted model, not a curated record.
AUGCCGAAGUUUUUGAGAUAGUUGGUUGAAGUCUUGAAGAAUGGGAAGAAUGGAAAGAACAAACCGUGAGGGAUGCUGACACGUGGAUAACGGAAGCCGAUCGAACGGUUGGUAUAUGUGGGAGCUGUAAUCUUGGCGAUUAAGAUUGAUUAUUAAACGAUUAUUAUAGAAACGCCCGCGUACUACUAACCGCACGGCUCUGUGGUGCAGAGAUCUCAUAACCAUGAGCAAAGUUGUUGGUCACACAUGCGUCUUCUAGGACGUUGAGGAUUGCCAGGUCCCUGAUGGUAACGAUCCUGAUUCGAUUUCUGAGAAUAUGAAAUCAGCUCUGUUACAGGAUAAACCGGUUAAGAACCUGGUUUAGGCUAUCUAAUUUCUGGUUUAGUUAAUUAUGAUCUCUGGUUUACUUAUUUCAUCUUUCUCGCUUCUAUAUGUAUGGCAUUAGCCGCAAUUGGCAAACUUAAUCAAUGAAAUACAACAAUCUCUUUAAUCUCUA